Molecule: small nuclear RNA, 99 nt
Filed under: Microcebus murinus (gray mouse lemur)
Lineage: Eukaryota; Metazoa; Chordata; Mammalia; Primates; Cheirogaleidae
Source: RNAcentral
GUACUUGCUUCAGUUGUACAUGCUUGAAUUGGAACAAUACAGAGGAGAUUAGAAUGGCUCAAGGAUGACAUGCAAAUUCGUGAAGCAUUUCAUAUAUAU